CUAUUUUAAUUAUUUAACAAUUUUUUGUAAUUUAUAAUAGAUUUGAUAAUUCUGUCCGUGUUAUUCACGAGAUUAAUAGAAUCGUAAAUAACCAUUGGAGAGGAUACUCGAUGAGUUAUACAAGCACUCCAGCACCGACAAGAGAGCUAUGGUGGAGUGAAUUUAAGCGAUCAUUCACUUGGGACAUGAUUGAUGAGAUGGAAA
Zingiber officinale is the source of this 204-nucleotide long non-coding RNA. RefSeq lists it as uncharacterized. The record is from RefSeq and is a predicted model, not a curated record. NCBI's taxonomy places the organism in Eukaryota, Viridiplantae, Streptophyta, Magnoliopsida, Zingiberales, Zingiberaceae. The transcript has 2 exons.